CCUACGGGAGGCAGCAGUGGGGAAUAUUGGGCAAUGGGCGCAAGCCUGACCCAGCAACGCCGCGUGAAGGAAGAAGGCUUUCGGGUUGUAAACUUCUUUUGUCAGGGACGAAGCAAGUGACGGUACCUGACGAAUAAGCCACGGCUAACUACGUGCCAGCAGCCGCGGUAAUACGUAGGUGGCAAGCGUUAUCCGGAUUUACUGGGUGUAAAGGGCGUGUAGGCGGGGAGGCAAGUCAGAUGUGAAAACCACGGGCUCAACCUGUGGCCUGCAUUUGAAACUGUUUUUCUUGAGUGCUGGGGAGGCAAUCGGAAUUCCGUGUGUAGCGGUGAAAUGCGUAGAUAUACGGAGGAACACCAGUGGCGAAGGCGGAUUGCUGGACAGUAACUGACGCUGAGGCGCGAAAGCGUGGGGAGCAAACAGGAUUAGAUACCCCAGUAGUC
This 443-nucleotide ribosomal RNA is filed under the name uncultured bacterium. RNAcentral's name for it is "partial 16S ribosomal RNA". It matches the Rfam family "Bacterial small subunit ribosomal RNA", at positions 338 to 795 of the family's 1533-position model. The record is from RNAcentral.